RNAcentral lists this ribosomal RNA (245 nucleotides) under uncultured bacterium. RNAcentral's name for it is "partial 16S ribosomal RNA". It matches the Rfam family "Bacterial small subunit ribosomal RNA", at positions 1257 to 1500 of the family's 1533-position model. The record is from RNAcentral.
GCGAGGAGGAGCAAAUCUGAAAAAAGACGUCCCUAGUUCGGAUUGUAGGCUGAAACUCGCCUACAUGAAGUCGGAAUCGCUAGUAAUCGCGGAUCAGCAUGCCGCGGUGAAUACGUUCCCGGGCCUUGUACACACCGCCCGUCACACCAUGAGAGUUUGUAACACCCAAAGCCGGUGGGGUAACCUUUUGGAGCCAGCCGUCUAAGGUGGGACAGAUGAUUGGGGUGAAGUCGUAACAAGGUACC